ACGGCUCAGUAACACGUGGCUAACCUGCCCUUGGGACGGGAACACCCCCGGGAAACUGGGGCUAAUCCCCGAUAGGUGAAGAACUCUGGAAUGAGUCUUCGCCCAAAAGGCGUCGGAUCAUGCUUUCGGCGUCGCCCAAGGAUGGGGCCGCGACCGAUCAGGUUGUUGGUGAGGUAACGGCCCACCAAGCCUAUAACCGGUGCGGGCCGUGAGAGCGGGAGCCCGGAGAUGGGCACUGAGACAAGGGCCCAGGUCCUACGGGGCGCAGCAGUCGCGAAACCUUUGCAAUACACGAAAGUGUGACAGGGUCAUCCCGAGUGCCGACCGCUGAGGUUGGCUUUUACCCAGUCUAGAAAGCUGGGGGAAUAAGGAGAGGGCAAGUCUGGUGUCAGCCGCCGCGGUAAUACCAGCUCUCCGAGUGGUGUGGACGUUUAUUGGGCCUAAAGCAUCCGUAGCUGGCUGAUCAAGUCCCCUGUUAAACCCACCGAUUUAAUCGUUGGCUUGCGGGGGAUACUGCUCGGCUAGGGGACGAGAGAGGCAGACGGUAUUCCCGGGGUAGGGGUGAAAUCCUAUAAUCCCGAGAAGACCACCAGUGGCGAAGGCUGUCUGCUAGAACGCGCCCGACGGUGAGGGAUGAAAGCUGGGGGAGCGAACCGGAUUAGAUACCCGGGUAGUCCCAGCUGUAAACGAUGCAGGCUAGGUGUUUGGACGGCCACGUGCCGUUCUAGUGCCGCAGGGAAGCUGUUAAGUCUGCCGCCUGGGGAGUACGAUCGCAAGAUUGAAACUUAAAGGAAUUGGCGGGGGAG
RNAcentral lists this ribosomal RNA (806 nucleotides) under uncultured archaeon. RNAcentral describes it as "bacterial SSU rRNA". It matches the Rfam family "Archaeal small subunit ribosomal RNA", at positions 85 to 876 of the family's 1478-position model. The record is from RNAcentral.